Dermochelys coriacea (leatherback sea turtle) is the source of this 545-nucleotide long non-coding RNA. RefSeq lists it as uncharacterized. Lineage: Eukaryota; Metazoa; Chordata; Testudines; Dermochelyidae. The record is from RefSeq and is a predicted model, not a curated record. The transcript is spliced from 3 exons.
CUGGCUGUAAUACUGGCCCUGAUUGGUUCUCUAACAGGCCCUCCCUGAUUGGCUGCCACCUUGAACAGCCACUCUGGCCUGUUGAAGCCCAAUCUGGCAUGGGGUGGGGCACUGCUGCACCACACCUACCCCACUCUAUUUUCAAGAUGGAAAAUGCUCAACAGGCCAAAUCCAUUCUCAGUUACUCAGGUAGAGCUCAACUGACUCCAAUAAAAUUGCAUAAGAAUAACUGAGAGCUGAAUUUAGACCUCUUUUUUAGAAGUGGUAACAGUCCUUGAGGAUUUACCCUCCCUCAGCUGUCCAUGUUUUAAAGAAGCCUAUCCAUCCAUAUAACAGGGAGAGACAACAGACUUGCCUGCCUAUGAUGGAUGGUCAAGUGGAAGUCCCCGUGGUCCUUUUCAAAAAGAAUAGAAGAUAACCUUGCUCCUGGACCAACUUUCCCACCCUCAGUGGUAUAGGUUCCUGUGCUCUAGACUGCUUGUAACAUGUUACUUGAUGUAUAAUGACUGCUGCCUUUGCAUAAAGGUCUCCUUCAAUCUGCACAG